Molecule: ribosomal RNA, 253 nt
Filed under: uncultured bacterium
Lineage: Bacteria
Description: partial 16S ribosomal RNA
Rfam family: Bacterial small subunit ribosomal RNA
Source: RNAcentral
UACGGAGGAUCCAAGCGUUAUCCGGAUUUAUUGGGUUUAAAGGGUGCGUAGGCGGAAUAGUAAGUCAGUGGUGAAAGCCUGUCGCUUAACGACAGAACUGCCAUUGAUACUGCUAAUCUUGAGUAUAUUUGAAGUGGGCGGAAUGUGUCGUGUAGUGGUGAAAUGCUUAGAUAUGACACAGAACACCAAUUGCGAAGGCAGCUCACUAAACUAUAACUGACGCUGAGGCACGAGAGCGUGGGGAUCAAACAGG